Molecule: long non-coding RNA, 2878 nt
Filed under: Equus caballus (horse)
Lineage: Eukaryota; Metazoa; Chordata; Mammalia; Perissodactyla; Equidae
Description: lncRNA (ENSECAG00000053342.1)
Source: RNAcentral
UUUUUUUUUUUUUUGGUGGGAAAGAUUGGCCCUGAACUAACAUCUGUUACCAAUCUUCCUCUUUUUUUUCUCCCCAAGCCCCAGUACUUAGUUGUAUAUCAUAGUUGUAGGUCAUUCUGUUCUGUGUGGGACACUGCCACAGCAUGGCUUGAUGAGCAGUGUGUAGGUCUGCACCCAAGAUCUGAACCAGUGAACCCCCAGCUGCCAAAGUGGAGUGCAUGGACUUAACCACUUGGCCAUGGGACCAGCCCCGAGGAAUGUAUUUCUAACUAUGCUCUCCAGCAUCUCCUCAGACUCUCCUGGGAGUCAAGAUGGGGAUAAAAAUAAGGCUGUAAGCUAAGUUCUUAUUCCUUAUAUCCACUUCAGGCAGAAGAGCUCUUUAUCCAUCUCUUUUAUGCUUGAACAAAUGUUCUCAUGGUUAAAACACUUUUAGAUACAACUGAUCUGGAGAAAGAUUUAAAUCUGUGUGCCCCUCAGACAAUUAUCUACAGGUGUGUUUUCUCAUCACCAAGCUCCUCAUGAGUUUUGGAUGAAAGAAAGUUCAAGAACGUUCUCCCCAGCCAGAACCUGGGGUGAGCCUUUUCCAGAUGAAGUGACAGGUCACAUGCUUUGAUAGUCAACUAGGCACAUCAGGUUAAAGCUUUUUUAUGAAGAUUACAGAGCUUAACUAAUGAUUGUGUUCAAAAGGAAAGGCACUCCUUCUCCACAUGGGGCUGAGGAGAACCGAGGGGCUGGGUCAGCACAGUGCUCUAAGACCAAGUCCAUCUGGGGCUGACCGCAAACACCAGACUCACACGUGGACGAGGCUCCCGUGUUCCCACCUCAGAGAACCGCAAUGCUUUGAACAUGGAAAAUGUUCACUGUGGACGUUAUCAUACACCCACCGGGGCCCCAUGAAAGCCACAGCAAAACACACAGCAUACAUCUAGUUUUGAGCAAUAUUGACUCCAUUCUAAGACUAUAAGAUAAUUACAGUCAUUUAGGAAAAAGGAUACACUAAAACAUUAAACAGAUAUGUAUACAUUGACUGGAAGACAUGUCCCAACUUCUCAACUACUUACAAUUUUUAAUAUUACAUCUUAACAUCAAAGAAAUGUGGUAUCUGCAAAUUUGCACACACUCUCUGCCUGGUAUUAUAGUGAAUUAUUGGUUAUAAGCAAUUUAGUAUUGGAGAACGUUUGCUGAAUAUGAUGCUUUCCGUUUUGAAAUAACUAACCUUUAUCCGUUCUUAUCUGGUUGAAGUCAUCCCUGGCGCGAUAUGUAAGAUCAAAUGAUCGUUGUGGAGAAUAAUAUUUAUCUUUCUAGGUUUGUUGGUAACUAUCUGUUUCAUUCAGAAGUCGGAUAAAAUCACUGAGAUUAUUGUCAAAAUAAAAUGUGUCAAGAUUCUGCAAGAUAAUGACAAUUUGGUUUUUCUUUUAUUUCUGGUAUCUCUUCUUUUGACUUUUUUUUCCCUUAUUUUGUUGCAUUGGUUAGAAUUUGCAGAACAAUGAUAAGUAAUAGUGCUUAGCAGAGGUUACCUCCAUCUUUCCCUGAUUUUGAUAGAAGUGUCUCUAGUGAUUAAUCAUUAGAUAUAACAAUGGUGGUUGAUUUGAGCAACAUUUUAUUUAUCAUUUUGCAGAAAUAUAUAUCCGUUUCUAGUUUAUUAAGGCAUUUUAAAAGUAAAAAUGGAAGCAGAAUUUAAUCUAACACCUUUUCGGCAUCUAUAGAGAAGAUCGCAAAAUUUUUCUGAUUUAGCAUAUUUGCACCAUGUAAUAUUAACAAUCUGAAUAUUAAAUUGCACCUAGAAUUUAUAAUUGUAAAAGAGGGGAUCAAAACAUAGCACUUUUUUAAAAGCACUUUUGUUUUGUAAAGUGAAUUAUUUGCUUUGUGAAUUACCUGACAAGUUUCUAACCCUAGGCAGCCGCAGCCUGUCCCUAUAAGCCUGCAUGUGGUUGGUGUCUCAGGGACCAGAGACUAAUUAUAACAGAGCCAGCCUAGGCAGGGCCCCGUUAGGAGGUCAGACCUGCCAGAAGAAAUCAAUUAUAGGAGAUGAACCUUGUUUGGAUGAGCCUCAUACCACUGCCCCCUCUGAGGUCCAAGGCCUUGCUUCCUGGUGCUAAGAUCGUCAAUGCCAGAGCCUGUCAUUUGUACACCACUUGGCACUGACUUCCCCCACAGCCGUCUUAGCCUUUCCGUUCAGCACAGAAUUAAUGAUGAGCCAUGGAGAGGAUGUGGAGAUAAGGACUCCUCUUAUGGAGAUGAUGACUUCAGCCAAGAGAGCAGAUUGCAGACAAAUCCAAUAAUCCUCUGGCAGCAAACAGGCACAUGUGCACAUUUGCACACAUGUUCUCAUAGAUUACACACAUACUCAUACACUCCUACCCUUCCCUUCACGUUAGGGAUUUGUUGAGCAUGGUGAGGGCUUAAUAUGGGCUGUUUCAUGAAUGAGUGAAUGAGUAAGAGAAUGUAGUCAUCCACAUAUGUCCUCAUGCUCAGCCACACCCACACAUGCUAAUAUCCACUCAUAGAUUCAUAGGCAAGUGGGAGAAAACCCUCCCCACAGCUCUCCAUACACAUGCCAACUGCUGUCACUGUCCCCUCCAAGCUGCGGCAUGUAUCCUCCGGAAGUCUGCAAUAGUUAGCAUGCUUUCAGUCUUGAGGGUCGAAAAUCUCAGUCCGACCUGCCUCAACCACAGGUUUAUUGCCGCACAUAAUAGGAAGUCCAGAAAUAGAGUUCCAGGACUGAUUGAUCUGGAGGCUGUCAUCAAGGACUGAACUUCAUUCUGUCAACCCCUCGGCCAUUUGCAGAAUCACCUCCGCAAUAAGUCUGGUUCCCCUGCCGGGUGCAGGAUGGCUCCCAGGAGCGAUCAAGGCUACACGUUUCCUAGUUCAUAUCCAG